RNAcentral lists this non-coding RNA (30 nucleotides) under Mus musculus (house mouse). The record is from RNAcentral. Lineage: Eukaryota; Metazoa; Chordata; Mammalia; Rodentia; Muridae.
UACUCUUGGUAUGCUAUGGUUCCCACUAGG